UACAGGGGGGGCGAGCGUUGUUCGGAAUUACUGGGCGUAAAGGGUUUGUAGGUGGCUUGCUCAGUCAGACGUGAAAUCCCUCAGCUUAACUGGGGAACUGCGUCUGGUACUAGCGAGCUUGAGUGCAGGAGAGGAACGCGGAAUUCCAGGUGUAGCGGUGAAAUGCGUAGAUAUCUGGAGGAACACCGGUGGCGAAGGCGGCGUUCUGGACUGCAACUGACACUGAAAAACGAAAGCCAGGGGAGCAAACGGG
RNAcentral lists this ribosomal RNA (253 nucleotides) under uncultured bacterium. RNAcentral's name for it is "partial 16S ribosomal RNA". It matches the Rfam family "Bacterial small subunit ribosomal RNA", at positions 524 to 776 of the family's 1533-position model. The record is from RNAcentral.